GACGAACGCUGGCGGCGUGCUUAACACAUGCAAGUCGAACGGAAAGGCCCUGCUUUUGUGGGGUGCUCGAGUGGCGAACGGGUGAGUAACACGUGAGUAACCUGCCCUUGACUUUGGGAUAACUUCAGGAAACUGGGGCUAAUACCGGAUAGGAGCUCCUGCUGCAUGGUGGGGGUUGGAAAGUUUCGGCGGUUGGGGAUGGACUCGCGGCUUAUCAGCUUGUUGGUGGGGUAGUGGCUUACCAAGGCUUUGACGGGUAGCCGGCCUGAGAGGUUGAACGGCGACAGUGGGACUGAGAUACGGCCCAGACUCGUACGGGAGGCAGCGGUGGGGAAUAUUGCACAGUGGGCGGAAGCGUGAUGCAGCGACGCCGCGUGCGGGAUGACGGCCUUCGGGUUGUAAACCGCUUUAGCCUGUGACGAAGCGUGAGUGACGGUAAUGGGUAAAGAAGCACCGGCUAACUACGUG
This 468-nucleotide ribosomal RNA is filed under the name uncultured bacterium. RNAcentral's name for it is "partial 16S ribosomal RNA". It matches the Rfam family "Bacterial small subunit ribosomal RNA", at positions 28 to 507 of the family's 1533-position model. The record is from RNAcentral.